Molecule: long non-coding RNA, 1219 nt
Organism: Mastomys coucha (southern multimammate mouse)
Lineage: Eukaryota; Metazoa; Chordata; Mammalia; Rodentia; Muridae
Exons: 2
Source: RefSeq, a predicted model, not a curated record
CCAGGAAGGCCUGAAGAACCUUGUGUCCUGAAUGUGCAAAGUGGCCCACUCUGGGGCGGGCCAAAGCUUCCUCUUCCACGCCUGUGUGUCAAUCCCUUUCAGGUUUUAGAAAGCACUAGUGAGUCAUCUUUCUCACUGGGUUUCGUGAACUUCUUUCAUUCUUAAUCUAACACCAGGGACCAUAGCAAGAAAUAGUUAUAGCCCUUGGCCUUGUUCUGAGUUUGGGGAGGGGCUGCAGUUGACUUGGUAUUAUGUGUGGUAGGUACCUGGGCCUGGGAAAGUUUUGUGAUGCUGGACAGUGGUGGACUUGUGGAAACUUGUACAAACUUGGGUGAGUAUACCUGGUGACGAACACACAGGCACAGUGAGCACGUUUGUGCCAUGUGGUACCGGCAGAGUGUUCUUGGUCUUUGUCUCCUUGGCAUUCAGAUACAUCAUAGGUGUGGCCUAAAGGCAGGCAGGGCUCUGUUAUUGGAGAUGGUGUGUUUGCAUUCUGUAUGAGUGAGUGCUGGAGCCUUGCUGAGAUCAUAAGCUACGAUUGCCAGGCCUCUGUGGUGGAAGAUUGAAGGCAUUGCACAAGCCUCCACUCAGUAUGUGAAGUCACUUGUCAUGAGUUCUUCUGACUUUUGUGUGUCUGCUGAAGAAGGAAAAGCAAAUGCAUAAAGCAACUAGAUCUUCAGAUCCUCAGGAGACCACAGGUAUAUAUUCAUCUAAAAGUCAUUUUCCAGAUCUUUCCAAACUAAAGUGAUUUGGGUUGCAAGUGCUUAUCAGUAGGAUCUUGUGUUCCCAAGCUCUUAGCCAUUCCAAGAGUCUACUGUGGACUGGUUGUAAGCUGGAAAUCGUGGAGGAGUCAAUGCUUGCUGGUAUUUUACUCAGUUGUUGUUUAAAUCAUGUAUGGGGAUUCUUUACUGUCAUUUAUACUCUAAUGUCUUGACUAGUAUGAAAAUGCUAUAAUUCCAUGGGCUAGGAGAUGGCUCAGUUGGUAAAGUGUCUCCUAUACAAGCAUGAGGACUUGAGUUUGGAUCCCUAGUACCUGUGUAAAAGCCAGCGGCAGCAGUAUAUCUGUCACCCCAGCAUUAAGGUGGGGUGAGGAUGAGUGCAAAGAUGAGGAUCUUGAGCUUGUUGGCCAGUCAGCAUAGUUAAAUUGAUAAGCCAGGUUCAAUGAGAGAGAUACUGUCUCAAAAAAAAAAAAGUAGGUAGUUGAGGAAGACCCCCCCCC